AGCAGCCGCGGUAAUUCCAGCUCCAAUAGCGUAUAUUAAAGUUGUUGCGGUUAAAAAGCUCGUAGUUGAAUUUCGGGGUUAGUAGAUUGGUCAUGCCUCUGGUAUGUACUGGUCUCACUGAUUCCUCCUUCCUGAUGAUCCGUAAUGCCAUUAAUUUGGUGUUGCGGGGAAUUUGGACUGUUACUUUGAAAAAAUUAGAGUGUUUAAAGCAAGCUAACGCUUGAAUACAUUAGCAUGGAAUAAUGAAAUAGGACGUUCGAUCCUAUUUUGUUGGUUUCUAGGAUUGACGUAAUGAUUAAUAGGGAUAGUUGGGGGCAUUAGUAUUCAAUUGUCAGAGGUGAAAUUCUUGGAUUUAUUGAAGACUAACUACUGCGAAAGCAUUUGCCAAGGAUGUUUUCAUUAAUCAAGAACGAAAGUUAGGGGAUCGAAGACGAUCAGAUACCGUCGCAGUCUUAACCAUAAACUACGCCGACUAGGGAUCGGAUGAUGUUAAUUUUUUAAUGACUCA
RNAcentral lists this ribosomal RNA (508 nucleotides) under uncultured glomeraceous AM fungus. RNAcentral describes it as "SSU rRNA". It matches the Rfam family "Eukaryotic small subunit ribosomal RNA", at positions 569 to 1078 of the family's 1831-position model. The record is from RNAcentral. Lineage: Eukaryota; Fungi; Glomeromycota; Glomeromycetes; Glomerales; Glomeraceae.